CCUUCGAUAGCUCAGUUGGUAGAACGGGGGACUGCAGAUUUAUAAUUGUGAUCCCUUGGUCGCUGGUUUUCGAAUCCGUCUCGAAGGA
Nematostella vectensis (starlet sea anemone) is the source of this 88-nucleotide non-coding RNA. NCBI's taxonomy places the organism in Eukaryota, Metazoa, Cnidaria, Anthozoa, Actiniaria, Edwardsiidae. The record is from Rfam.